This 497-nucleotide ribosomal RNA is filed under the name uncultured bacterium. RNAcentral describes it as "partial 16S ribosomal RNA". It matches the Rfam family "Bacterial small subunit ribosomal RNA", at positions 28 to 507 of the family's 1533-position model. The record is from RNAcentral.
GAUGAACGCUGGCGGCGUGCCUAAUACAUGCAAGUCGAGCGAACAGAUGAGGAGCUUGCUCCUCUGACGUUAGCGGCGGACGGGUGAGUAACACGUGGAUAACCUACCUAUAAGACUGGGAUAACUUCGGGAAACCGGAGCUAAUACCGGAUAAUAUAUUGAACCGCAUGGUUCAAUAGUGAAAGACGGUUUUGCUGUCACUUAUAGAUGGAUCCGCGCCGCAUUAGCUAGUUGGUAAGGUAACGGCUUACCAAGGCAACGAUGCGUAGCCGACCUGAGAGGGAGGAUCGACAGCUGGGAACAGAGAAUGGGCCCAGACACCGACGGGAGGAAGCAGUAGGGAAUCUUACGCAAGGGGGGAGAGCCUGACGGAGGAACGCGGGGGGAGGGAUGAAGGACUUCGGAUGGGAAAACGCUGUAAGUAUGGAGGAAGAAAUGUGUAAGUAACCGGGAAGAUCAUGACGGUACCGAAUGAGAAAGCCACGGCUAACUACGUG